Molecule: ribosomal RNA, 275 nt
Filed under: uncultured bacterium
Lineage: Bacteria
Description: partial 16S ribosomal RNA
Rfam family: Bacterial small subunit ribosomal RNA
Source: RNAcentral
CCUACGGGGGGCUGCAGUGGGGAAUCUUGCACAAUGGGGGAAACCCUGAUGCAGCGACGCCGCGUGAGUGAUGACGUCCUUCGGGAUGUAAAGCUCUUUCGACAGGAACGAUAAUGACGGUACCUGGAGAAGAAGCUGCGGCUAACUACGUGCCAGCAGCCGCGGUAAUACGUAGGCAGCAAGCGUUGUUCGGAAUUAUUGGGCGUAAAGAGUAUGUAGGCGGUUCGCUAAGUCUGAUGUGAAAUCUCCCGGCUUAACUGGGAGGGUGCGUCGGA